CUCCCUAACGGAUACAGUUGUUUUAGUAAACAUCGAUCAAAGUUUAAAAGAAAGUCAGGUGGCAUAGUAAUUAUUUACAAAUCUGAACUUGAAAAAUUUCUUACAUUUCCAAAAACAAACUCAGAAUUUGUACAGUGGAUACAAUUUUCGAAAGAUCUUUUAAAUGACAAUGUACUAAUGGGCUGUGUCUAUAUACCACCAGAAGGAUCUAAAUACUCAUCGGUAGAUGCUUUUACUGAAAUUGAAAACGAAUUUCUUCAUUUGUCUGAACCUA
Molecule: long non-coding RNA, 274 nt
Filed under: Mytilus galloprovincialis (Mediterranean mussel)
Lineage: Eukaryota; Metazoa; Mollusca; Bivalvia; Mytilida; Mytilidae
Source: RNAcentral